This 441-nucleotide ribosomal RNA is filed under the name uncultured bacterium. Its description in RNAcentral is "partial 16S ribosomal RNA". It matches the Rfam family "Bacterial small subunit ribosomal RNA", at positions 338 to 795 of the family's 1533-position model. The record is from RNAcentral.
CCUACGGGUGGCAGCAGUCGGGAAUAUUGCGCAAUGGAGGAAACUCUGACGCAGUGACGCCGCGUGCAGGAAGAAGGUUUUCGGAUUGUAAACUGCUUUUGUCAGGGAAGAUAAAAGACAUUACCUGUAGAUUAAGCUCCGCCUAACUACGUGCCAGCAGCGGAGGUAAUACGUAGGGAGCAACCGUUAUCCGGAUAUAUUGGGUGUAAAGGGUGCGUAGGCGGAGAAGCAAGUCAGUUGUGAAAUCCCUCGGAUUAAAUGAGGAACUGCAUUUAAAACUACUUCCCUUGAGUGCUGGAGAGGAAAGUGGAAUUCCUGGUGUAGCGGUGAAAUGCGUAGAUAUUAGGAGGAACACUAGUGGCGAAGGCGACUUUCUGGACAGUAACUGACGUUGAGGCACGAAAGUGUGGGGAGCAAACAGGAUUAGAUACCCCAGUAGUC